This is a long non-coding RNA of Misgurnus anguillicaudatus (oriental weatherfish), 1949 nucleotides long. RefSeq lists it as uncharacterized. The record is from RefSeq and is a predicted model, not a curated record. Lineage: Eukaryota; Metazoa; Chordata; Actinopteri; Cypriniformes; Cobitidae.
GCUAGUUUACACAUUUGUGACUUUUUUUCUGCAACUUUAAAAUCAGAACACAAGUUUGUGAUAACUGUCCACGAGUGCACAUCUCAACAUUCAACUUCAGAUUUUGGAUCUGGCAAGUUUUCACAUCAGGACUGUGAUUCUGAGCACUCCAGCUUCACGGUUGACUCCACACUAAUGGGUGAGGUAGAAGUAGGGAGAACACCUGAACCUUUGUUCUCCAGUGAGGAGGACGAUGAAGGCAAAGACACCACAAUGUAUUUCUGUAGAGGCCGUGAGCCACCCACUGCUCCUGUGUUUCCAGACUCCAGUUUGACAAGUGGCUGUAAAGAUGUGGGAGUGCUGGGAACUGUACUUGUGAUGGGAGAUCCAGACUGGGAGGAACUGAGACUGAUCACCUGAAGGAAAAGAUUACAUCUACAAUUACAGCAGAUAGGGCACGCACGCUCACAUCAUACUUAACUGUUCCCACCCCCUCACUCGUCUGCACUCACACUACACUUUCUGAACUGUACCAAGUAUGUUUACGUGAUUUAAAGAUGCAAUUGUUUUGAAGAAAACUGGAUAAUUUGCGUGAUGGAGUUCAUCGUAUUGUCAGUAUAAUCAUCAGGUGUGUUUGAAAGCAUGUGCUGCACAGAUUGCUUGGCUUAUGACCUUAAAUAACCAUAAGAGAUUUAAAAGCAUAUUAGUAGGAGUCUGUUCUCCAAAUACUCUCGGGCUACUUUAAUGUCAUAAACCAAUCAGUUCGCACAGUGGCCAUGAUGUCAAACACACCUCUGUUAUCUGGGGUUAUUUGGGAUGUGGUGACAUGGCUGUAUGUAUUUGUGCUGCACAUAUCAGAGUGUUUUACAGUAGAUAUGUUUACAUGCACCCAAUUAAUCAGUUUGUAUUUGUAUUGAUGGCUUAAUCAUAUUAAAAAGGCUACAUGUAAACACCUUAAUCAAUAUGAUUCAGGACGAUCUGAUGCAAAUUUGGAUCAUAUUGAAGGGGGUGGCGUACUCCGAUCUGUGAUCCAAUCAGCAGGAGAAAAGUAUGCAUGUUAACACGUGAAUCUUAGUAUUUUCUCAAUCAGAUGCAGAAAUACAUUGUGCACAUGCGCAGAACAUUUGUGCUCAAGUUCACAUCUUAUAAUUACCUGUUAUAUAACAUGAUUCUCGUCACAAAAACAUGCAAUAGCAAGCAAUGGCAUGGCGCAUUAUUAAGGUAACGUUAAUGGGGUCACGCGAUGUACAGUACAUUCUUCAGAGUUAAGCAAUAAAAUAGCUUUGUGCCUUUUGAAAAGUGUUCACCUAAUACCUAUAUCUAAAAACCUAUUAAGAAAAACUUUCCCCAACUCAGUUUUGACUUUUAUCCACAGAUAAAACUUAAACUCGACGAGAGAUGCUUUCCGCAGCGUAGCGUUGCCAAGUCCUCUGCUUCUUCAAGUUUAGGUUUGGCUACUGUUUAAACUGUUUCCACCAGUUGUUGUUUUUCUUUAGGUUAAAGAUGAAAUGAUUUUAUUGAUUAAUUAUUGACAUUUGGACUGUGGACAGUCAUUGGGAUGCUUUUGUGCUAGUUUUGAAUGUCCAUUUGGAUGGAUUUGGAACAUUUAAAUCAGAUUGCAAUGUUUAUUGUCAAUGCAUUGUCGUAACCUUCAAUCUUAUUAAAUUUAGUCGGAUUGACAAAAUUUUGUGCAUGUAAACAUAGCCAGUGAAAGCGGACUGUACCCGAAGCCAACUCGGGUACACUUAAAAGUCCCAGUAAACCGGAAAUCGCGAUCUAUGUAUUUCCAUGUAAGAUAUAAUAUCAUGCAACGAAAGUAGUUAAGCGUGGCUUGUGUUUUCAACUGUGCUUUGAUUGUAUAUAGAAGCCAUUUUAUUCAGAAAUGGAACUUGCAACAGACUGGCAGCUGGAGGGGCGGAGUAAACAGUAUAAAAUGUUUAUAAUAAACACUGCAAUAUUACAUAAAAAUA